Molecule: ribosomal RNA, 303 nt
Filed under: uncultured bacterium
Lineage: Bacteria
Description: bacterial SSU rRNA
Rfam family: Bacterial small subunit ribosomal RNA
Source: RNAcentral
UUGGGAAUAUUGGACAAUGGAGGAAACUCUGAUCCAGUGACGCCGCGUGAAGGAAGAAGGUCUUCGGAUUGUAAACUUAUUUUGUCAGGGAAGAAACAAAUGACUGUACCUGAAGAAAAAGCACCGGCUAACUACGUGCCAGCAGCCGCGGUAAUACGUAGGGUGCAAGCGUUAUCCGGAUUUACUGGGUGUAAAGGGCGAGUAGACGGCGAUGCAAGUCAGAUGUGAAAUGCUAGGGCUUAACCUUAGAACUGCAUCUGAAACUGCAUUGCUAGAGUGCAGGAGAGGUAAGCGGAAUUCCUA